UAACUAAACCAACAUUGGCAUUUAGGAUGUGAGCUUGAACUGCUAUGAAGUGAUCAAGGGGAGCUGGGCAGAACUCAAGGCGAUGUUGACUCAGAAACAAGCCUCGGCCGAACUAAGCAAAGCUUUUCGAACUGGCGAGAGCCUUCGUUCAACGGCUUCUGCCCAGGAUUGGCUAUGGACUGUUUUUGUUUAUACGGCCAUGGUCAAUUAUCCGGCCGAAGCGAAUUUCAUGAAGCCAUUGCCUGCUUAUCCUGUGGACAGCAGAUGUGCGAGAUAAUCGAUGAAUUUUCAUCAGGGGCAACGAAGCUUCGUCGUGGUUUUGCGGCUGCGAGCU
Molecule: long non-coding RNA, 334 nt
Organism: Hibiscus syriacus
Lineage: Eukaryota; Viridiplantae; Streptophyta; Magnoliopsida; Malvales; Malvaceae
Exons: 3
Source: RefSeq, a predicted model, not a curated record